CCUACGGGCGGCUGCAGUGGGGAAUAUUGCACAAUGGGGGAAACCCUGAUGCAGCAACGCCGCGUGAGUGAAGAAGGUCUUCGGAUCGUAAAGCUCUGUCUUUGGGGACGAUAAUGACGGUACCCAAGGAGGAAGCCACGGCUAACUACGUGCCAGCAGCCGCGGUAAUACGUAGGUGGCAAGCGUUGUCCGGAAUUACUGGGCGUAAAGGAUGCGUAGGCGGAUAUCUAAGUCAGAUGUGAAAUACCCGGGCUCAACUUGGGUGCUGCAUUUGAAACUGGAUAUCUAGAGUGCAGGAGAGGAAAGUGGAAUUCCUAGUGUAGCGGUGAAAUGCGUAGAGAUUAGGAAGAACACCAGUGGCGAAGGCGACUUUCUGGACUGUAACUGACGCUGAGGCAUGAAAGCGUGGGUAGCAAACAGGAUUAGAUACCCCUGUAGUC
RNAcentral lists this ribosomal RNA (440 nucleotides) under uncultured Clostridium sp. RNAcentral's name for it is "bacterial SSU rRNA". It matches the Rfam family "Bacterial small subunit ribosomal RNA", at positions 338 to 795 of the family's 1533-position model. Lineage: Bacteria; Bacillati; Bacillota; Clostridia; Eubacteriales; Clostridiaceae. The record is from RNAcentral.